RNAcentral lists this ribosomal RNA (115 nucleotides) under Prolemur simus (greater bamboo lemur). Lineage: Eukaryota; Metazoa; Chordata; Mammalia; Primates; Lemuridae. The record is from RNAcentral.
GUCUAUGGCCAUACCACUCUGAAUACGCCCAAUCUCAUCUGAUCUUAGAAGCUAAACAGGGUGGGGCCUGGUUAGUACUUGGAUGGCAGAGCAAAGCAUUAUGUGGUGCAUGACU